GUCCCUAUAGUUUAAAACAGAACAUAACUUUUUCAACGUUAAAGAAUAAGGGAAA
This 55-nucleotide transfer RNA is filed under the name Blomia tropicalis. RNAcentral's name for it is "tRNA-Glu". Lineage: Eukaryota; Metazoa; Arthropoda; Arachnida; Sarcoptiformes; Echimyopodidae. The record is from RNAcentral.